RNAcentral lists this ribosomal RNA (253 nucleotides) under uncultured bacterium. RNAcentral's name for it is "partial 16S ribosomal RNA". It matches the Rfam family "Bacterial small subunit ribosomal RNA", at positions 524 to 776 of the family's 1533-position model. The record is from RNAcentral.
UACAGAGACCUCAAGCGUUAUCCGGAUUUAUUGGGCGUAAAGCGUCCGCAGGUGGUUUAGUAAGUCAGGGGUCAAAACCUAUCGCUUAACGAUAGGAUCGCCUUUGAUACUGCUAAACUCGAGUAUGGAAGAGGUAAGCGGAAUUCUCGGUGUAGUCGUAAUAAGCGUUGAUAUCGAGAAGAACACCAAAUGCGAAGGCAGCUUACUGGUACAUUACUGACACUCAGGGACGAAAGCGUGGGGAGCAAACAGG